Magnolia sinica is the source of this 864-nucleotide long non-coding RNA. RefSeq lists it as uncharacterized. The transcript has 3 exons. NCBI's taxonomy places the organism in Eukaryota, Viridiplantae, Streptophyta, Magnoliopsida, Magnoliales, Magnoliaceae. The record is from RefSeq and is a predicted model, not a curated record.
AAGGGUGGCAGCAAAAGAAGAAAAAGAAAGCUGUGGACCGAAAAGGAGACGGAGGAUAGGGUGUUCUUUUUUAGAAAGCAGGGAAGAGAGAGAGAGAGAGAGGAGAUGGAAGCGCAUGCGUUUCCGAUAUCUCUUACUUACUGUCUCGAAUUCGCUUGGUGCAGGUCGGGAAUGAUGCGAUGCGCCCUCUAUUUUCCCCUUUCAUUUCUAGCCGCAUCUGAUCCCGCCUUGCAUCAAGUGAAUCGGAGACGGCAGUAAAGGUUGCAAGAUUAGGGUUUUUCUGCUGCAUCAUUUCCCUCUCAACCAAGCAAGGUAUGGCAUUUGGAGCGUUUGUGCCAUAUGGAUCUUGAUGAAUCUUUUAUCUCUCGGCUUCCAUUUCUUUUUCUUUCUGGAGGUUCAUAAAUGCUGGAUCUUGCUUCGAAUCUGAAGAAUUGGAUCUUCAUUUUGUGAUGGUUUGGCUCUGUCUCAAGCACUUGUUAGCGAGUCUUUAACAUUUCCUUUCUGUUCGAAUUUAUAUUGGCAGUUUGAAGACUACGAGAAGGGGUCGUUGUUCAUGAGUUGAGCUCUUGAUGGUGUUGGUGCUUGUUUUAGAUCUGUAUAUUAGUUCGAAAAAUUAGAUUUUCUCGACUUCAAGUUUAGAUCUCACUUCAGUCUUCUUUCAUUGGGAUUGUGUAUUGUCUUCGUUCUCUUUUAUUUUGGAUUUGCUUGUGAUGAUUUUUGCUUCUUUCAUUCUCUAGAGAUAUGAUGAACAGUUAAUCAUGCACUAUUUGCCAUCUUUUUUGUUAGCAAGGGGACUUCAGUAGUUCUUUGAGGAUCCCCUCUGUUAUAAUUGUUAUUAUUAUUUUUUAUAUUUUAUGCUGUCCA